ACCAGACUCCUACGGGAGGCAGCAGUGGGGAAUAUUGCACAAUGGGGGAAACCCUGAUGCAGCGACGCCGCGUGAGUGAAGAAGUAUUUCGGUAUGUAAAGCUCUAUCAGCAGGGAAGAUAAUGACGGUACCUGACUAAGAAGCCCCGGCUAACUACGUGCCAGCAGCCGCGGUAAUACGUAGGGGGCAAGCGUUAUCCGGAUUUACUGGGUGUAAAGGGUGCGCAGGUGGCAGGGCAAGUCAGAUGUGAAAGCCCGGGGCUCAACCCCGGUAUUGCAUUUGAAACUGUCCGGCUAGAGUGCAGGAGAGGUAAGCGGAAUUCCUAGUGUAGCGGUGAAAUGCGUAGAUAUUAGGAGGAACACCAGUGGCGAAGGCGGCUUACUGGACUGUAACUGACACUGAGGCACGAAAGCGUGGGGAGCAAACAGGAUUAGAUACCCGGGUA
Molecule: ribosomal RNA, 445 nt
Filed under: uncultured bacterium
Lineage: Bacteria
Description: bacterial SSU rRNA
Rfam family: Bacterial small subunit ribosomal RNA
Source: RNAcentral